Molecule: unclassified non-coding RNA, 349 nt
Filed under: soil metagenome
Description: partial contains 5.8S ribosomal RNA, internal transcribed spacer 2, and large subunit ribosomal RNA
Rfam family: 5.8S ribosomal RNA (bases 1-120)
Source: RNAcentral
GAUGAAGAACGCAGCAAAAUGCGAUACGUAAUGUGAAUUGCAGAAUUCAGUGAAUCAUCGAGUCUUUGAACGCACAUUGCGCCCCCUGGUAUUCCGGGGGGCAUGCCUGUCCGAGCGUCAUUGCUGCCCUCAAGCACGGCUUGUGUGUUGGGCCUCCGCCCCCCGGCUCCCGGGGGGCGGGCCCGAAAGGCAGCGGCGGCACCGCGUCCGGUCCUCGAGCGUAUGGGGCUUCGUCACCCGCUCCGUAGGCCCGGCCGGCGCCCGCCGGCGACCCCCCUCAAUCUUUCCAGGUUGACCUCGGAUCAGGUAGGGAUACCCGCUGAACUUAAGCAUAUCAAUAAGCGGAGGA